AGUAACCGGGCGAGUGAAGCGGCAACAGCUCAAAUUUGAAAUCUGGCUCCCUUUGGGGGUCCGAGUUGUAAUUUGCAGAGGGUGCUUUGGCGUUGGUGGCGGUCUAAGUUCCUUGGAACAGGACAUCGCAGAGGGUGAGAAUCCCGUUUGUGGUCGCCUGCCUUCGCCGUGUAAAGCCCCUUCGACGAGUCGAGUUGUUUGGGAAUGCAGCUCUAAAUGGGAGGUAAAUUUCUUCUAAAGCUAAAUACUGGCCAGAGACCGAUAGCGCACAAGUAGAGUGAUCGAAAGAUGAAAAGCACUUUGGAAAGAGAGUCAAACAGCACGUGAAAUUGUUGAAAGGGAAGCGCUUGCCGCCAGACUUGCCCGUAGUUGCUCACCCAGCCUUUUGGCUGGUGCAUUCUUCUGCGGGCAGGCCAGCAUCAGUUUGGGCGGUCGGAUAAAGGCCUCUGGCAUGUUCCUUCCUUCGGGUUGGCCAUAUAGGGGAGGUGCAAUGCGACCAGCCCGGACUGAGGUCCGCGCUUUUGCUAGGAUGCUGGCGUAAUGGCUGUAAGCGGCCCGUCUUGAAACACGGACCCAAGGA
Molecule: ribosomal RNA, 580 nt
Filed under: Helminthosporium meilingense
Lineage: Eukaryota; Fungi; Ascomycota; Dothideomycetes; Pleosporales; Massarinaceae
Description: partial large subunit ribosomal RNA
Rfam family: Eukaryotic large subunit ribosomal RNA
Source: RNAcentral